RNAcentral lists this ribosomal RNA (1344 nucleotides) under Escherichia coli. Its description in RNAcentral is "partial 23S ribosomal RNA". It matches the Rfam family "Bacterial large subunit ribosomal RNA", at positions 165 to 1551 of the family's 2925-position model. Lineage: Bacteria; Pseudomonadati; Pseudomonadota; Gammaproteobacteria; Enterobacterales; Enterobacteriaceae. The record is from RNAcentral.
CAUAGGUUAAUGAGGCGAACCGGGGGAACUGAAACAUCUAAGUACCCCGAGGAAAAGAAAUCAACCGAGAUUCCCCCAGUAGCGGCGAGCGAACGGGGAGCAGCCCAGAGCCUGAAUCAGUGUGUGUGUUAGUGGAAGCGUCUGGAAAGGCGCGCGAUACAGGGUGACAGCCCCGUACACAAAAAUGCACAUGCUGUGAGCUCGAUGAGUAGGGCGGGACACGUGGUAUCCUGUCUGAAUAUGGGGGGACCAUCCUCCAAGGCUAAAUACUCCUGACUGACCGAUAGUGAACCAGUACCGUGAGGGAAAGGCGAAAAGAACCCCGGCGAGGGGAGUGAAAAAGAACCUGAAACCGUGUACGUACAAGCAGUGGGAGCACGCUUAGGCGUGUGACUGCGUACCUUUUGUAUAAUGGGUCAGCGACUUAUAUUCUGUAGCAAGGUUAACCGAAUAGGGGAGCCGAAGGGAAACCGAGUCUUAACUGGGCGUUAAGUUGCAGGGUAUAGACCCGAAACCCGGUGAUCUAGCCAUGGGCAGGUUGAAGGUUGGGUAACACUAACUGGAGGACCGAACCGACUAAUGUUGAAAAAUUAGCGGAUGACUUGUGGCUGGGGGUGAAAGGCCAAUCAAACCGGGAGAUAGCUGGUUCUCCCCGAAAGCUAUUUAGGUAGCGCCUCGUGAAUUCAUCUCCGGGGGUAGAGCACUGUUUCGGCAAGGGGGUCAUCCCGACUUACCAACCCGAUGCAAACUGCGAAUACCGGAGAAUGUUAUCACGGGAGACACACGGCGGGUGCUAACGUCCGUCGUGAAGAGGGAAACAACCCAGACCGCCAGCUAAGGUCCCAAAGUCAUGGUUAAGUGGGAAACGAUGUGGGAAGGCCCAGACAGCCAGGAUGUUGGCUUAGAAGCAGCCAUCAUUUAAAGAAAGCGUAAUAGCUCACUGGUCGAGUCGGCCUGCGCGGAAGAUGUAACGGGGCUAAACCAUGCACCGAAGCUGCGGCAGCGACGCUUAUGCGUUGUUGGGUAGGGGAGCGUUCUGUAAGCCUGUGAAGGUGUACUGUGAGGUAUGCUGGAGGUAUCAGAAGUGCGAAUGCUGACAUAAGUAACGAUAAAGCGGGUGAAAAGCCCGCUCGCCGGAAGACCAAGGGUUCCUGUCCAACGUUAAUCGGGGCAGGGUGAGUCGACCCCUAAGGCGAGGCCGAAAGGCGUAGUCGAUGGGAAACAGGUUAAUAUUCCUGUACUUGGUGUUACUGCGAAGGGGGGACGGAGAAGGCUAUGUUGGCCGGGCGACGGUUGUCCCGGUUUAAGCGUGUAGGCUGGUUUUCCAGGCAAAUCCGGAAAAUC